UGAUGCUGUCUGUUCAGAGAUGGUGCUUGCUGUGGCUCAUAUUGACAUCAUUCAUUGCAACUAUAUAAGAUGCUCCUCUUUUCCUCUUUUGUGUACACACUUUCUAUCUCAUUUUCCUUUCCAAUCUCAGUCUUCUUUUGUUUCCCCUCUCUUCAUCAGCAAUCACUGAACUCUGAUAUCUGUAUCUCUCUUUCUCUUGAUAAACAGCUGGACUGAUUCAUCACUGUCAUCAUCAUCACACUGAAUGGAGUUAUUCAAUCUACUAUAGCUCAACUACUUUUACAACAAUUCAUUAUCUUUAUAACUUUCAUCAUAUUCUUAUACUCUUGUUCUUCUGUAAUUUACUGUUUUCAUUCUUCAGUUUCUUUUCACUGUUCUUUUAUUCUUUAUAUACUCUUAAUUCAUCACAUUCAUUGCUGUUCUCAGACUGCUGAUCUUUUUUUCUUCUCUUUUUUUAUCUUUUCUUUUCUUUUCUUUUCUUUUUUUUGUCUGAUAUCAGAGCAGAGAAUGUGCUGUAUUUUAAGUCAAUGAUAAAAAUGUCUUAUUUCUCAUGAAGCUGUAUAUAUAAGUCU
Molecule: small RNA, 572 nt
Filed under: Histoplasma capsulatum
Lineage: Eukaryota; Fungi; Ascomycota; Eurotiomycetes; Onygenales; Ajellomycetaceae
Also listed under: 1 other name
Description: hypothetical RNA
Source: RNAcentral